This is a non-coding RNA of Paramuricea clavata, 219 nucleotides long. The record is from the annotation of a GenBank genome assembly. NCBI's taxonomy places the organism in Eukaryota, Metazoa, Cnidaria, Anthozoa, Malacalcyonacea, Plexauridae.
UGGUUACUAAUUCUAAGACGCUCUUUCUAGCUGUAGUGAUAUAUUUCGUUGUUCUUAUUUAGAUUAAAAUUUAGUCUAAAGCGCAAGUCGUCCAUUUGUUUAGCUAACUCAGGUGAGGCGCUGAGGCCUAUCGAAUGAAGUAAGGCACGGAGGCCUAUUUAAUGAAUCAUGCAAGGCACGGUGACGGAGGCCUAUGAAUGAAUCACGUAAGGCACGGAG